GACGAACGCUGGCGGCGUGCUUAACACAUGCAAGUCGAACGGUAAGGCCCUUCGGGGUACACGAGUGGCGAACGGGUGAGUAACACGUGGGUGAUCUGCCCUGCACUUCGGGAUAAGCCUGGGAAACUGGGUCUAAUACCGGAUAGGACCACUGCCUGCAUGGGUGGUGGUGGAAAGCUUUUGCGGUGUGGGAUGGGCCCGCGGCCUAUCAGCUUGUUGGUGGGGUGAUGGCCUACCAAGGCGACGACGGGUAGCCGGCCUGAGAGGGUGACCGGCCACACUGGGACGGAGAUACGGCCCAGACUCCUACGGGAGGCAGCAGUGGGGAAUAUUGCACAAUGGGCGCAAGCCUGAUGCAGCGACGCCGCGUGAGGGAUGACGGCCUUCGGGUUGUAAACCUCUUUCAGCACCGACGAAGCGCAAGUGACGGUAGGUGCAGAAGAAGGACCGGCCAACUACGUGUCAGCCGCCGCGGUAA
This 478-nucleotide ribosomal RNA is filed under the name uncultured bacterium. RNAcentral describes it as "partial 16S ribosomal RNA". It matches the Rfam family "Bacterial small subunit ribosomal RNA", at positions 28 to 523 of the family's 1533-position model. The record is from RNAcentral.